UGGGGAAUAUUGCACAAUGGGCGGAAGCCUGAUGCAGCGACGCCGCGUGAGGGAUGACGGCCUUCGGGUUGUAAACCUCUUUCAGUAGGGACGAAGCGUAAGUGACGGUACCUGCAGAAGAAGCACCGGCUAACUACGUGCCAGCAGCCGCGGUAAUACGUAGGGUGCGAGCGUUGUCCGGAAUUACUGGGCGUAAAGAGCUCGUAGGCGGUUUGUCACGUCGUCUGUGAAAGCCUAGGGCUUAACCCUGGACGUGCAGGCGAUACGGGCUGACUUGAGUACUACAGGGGAGACUGGAAUUUCUGGUGUAGCGGUGGAAUGCACAGAUAUCAGGAAGAACACCGAUGGCGAAGGCAGGUCUCUGGGUAGUAACUGACGCUGAGGAGCGAAAGCAUGGGUAGCGAACAGG
RNAcentral lists this ribosomal RNA (409 nucleotides) under Verrucomicrobiota bacterium. RNAcentral describes it as "Verrucomicrobia bacterium partial 16S ribosomal RNA". It matches the Rfam family "Bacterial small subunit ribosomal RNA", at positions 355 to 776 of the family's 1533-position model. The record is from RNAcentral. Lineage: Bacteria; Pseudomonadati; Verrucomicrobiota.